GUGGGGAAUAUUGCACAAUGGGCGCAAGCCUGAUGCAGCCAUGCCGCGUGUAUGAAGAAGGCCUUCGGGUUGUAAAGUACUUUCAGCGGGGAGGAAGGGAGUAAAGUUAAUACCUUUGCUCAUUGACGUUACCCGCAGAAGAAGCACCGGCUAACUCCGUGCCAGCAGCCGCGGUAAUACGGAGGGUGCAAGCGUUAAUCGGAAUUACUGGGCGUAAAGCGCACGCAGGCGGUUUGUUAAGUCAGAUGUGAAAUCCCCGGGCUCAACCUGGGAACUGCAUCUGAUACUGGCAAGCUUGAGUCUCGUAGAGGGGGGUAGAAUUCCAGGUGUAGCGGUGAAAUGCGUAGAGAUCUGGAGGAAUACCGGUGGCGAAGGCGGCCCCCUGGACGAAGACUGACGCUCAGGUGCGAAAGCGUGGGGAGCAAACAGGA
Molecule: ribosomal RNA, 431 nt
Filed under: uncultured bacterium
Lineage: Bacteria
Description: bacterial SSU rRNA
Rfam family: Bacterial small subunit ribosomal RNA
Source: RNAcentral